AGUAUACUGGCUUAUGCUGCUCACUGUCAGACAGACUCAGAGGGGCGUCCUCUGGCUGGGGCUAUGAUCAUCUGUAGAGAGACCCUCAGUAUGGAAAGAUACACACAUGAGCAUUUUGUGCAGACAGUGAUCCAUGAGCUGUUCCACGUGUUGGGCUUCAGUAAAGAGCUCUUCAGCCGAUGGAAGGAUUGUUCUCUCUCCUCUCAGGCUGGCAUAGACUGCUGGUCUCAUGGU
Sinocyclocheilus rhinocerous is the source of this 234-nucleotide long non-coding RNA. RefSeq lists it as uncharacterized. Lineage: Eukaryota; Metazoa; Chordata; Actinopteri; Cypriniformes; Cyprinidae. The record is from RefSeq and is a predicted model, not a curated record. The transcript has 3 exons.